AUACGGAGGAUGCGAGCGUUAUCCGGAUUUAUUGGGUUUAAAGGGUGCGUAGGCUGUGCUGCAAGUCAGUGGUGAAAGACCUGCGCUCAACGCAGGAAGUGCCAUUGAUACUGCAGUGCUGGAGUACCCCUGCCGUGGGAGGAAUGAGUGGUGUAGCGGUGAAAUGCAUAGAUAUCACUCAGAACACCGAUUGCGAAGGCAUCUCACGAAGGGUUGAUUGACGCUGAGGCACGAAAGCGUGGGGAUCAAACAGGAUUAGAUACCCUGGUAGUCCACGCAGUAAACGAUGAUGGCUAACCGCUGGGCUUAUCAGUUCAGUGGCCAAGCGAAAGCGAUAAGCCAUCCACCUGGGGAGUACGACCGCAAGGUUGAAACUCAAAGGAAUUGACGGGG
Molecule: ribosomal RNA, 393 nt
Filed under: uncultured bacterium
Lineage: Bacteria
Description: partial 16S ribosomal RNA
Rfam family: Bacterial small subunit ribosomal RNA
Source: RNAcentral